AUGCUGUCCCAGUGCUGGUGGCGGGGAACAACCCGGGCCAGGGCCAUGCAGUCUGGUGGAAUACCCCAAAGCCUCAUCAGUCUGGUGCUGCUGGGCCAGAGCACCAUUCAGGAAGGGUUCAAGGAGGUGAGAAUGCUGGCUGAAGGCUGGUGUAGGCAAAGUUUCCCCCAAUGGUAUCGGUGCUGGAGUGCAGCAGGGGGACCCCGUUUCUGCCAGUGGCGAGGGGUCCCUGGGGUGCGCACAGCUAGGAGCCGGGCCCCUCGGGGGGCUGGGCUGGGGGGCUCAGCUGGCUCUCGAGCAGCGCCCGCGUCCCCUCAGCUGACAGCCUCCGCAGCCGCAGCCGUACCGAGCCAUAGGUGCCCCCGGUGCGGCGGGCGGCCCGGGCGCGGCGGCGGGCGGCGGCGGCGGCCAGCAGCAGGGCGGCGAGCAGGAGCCCGCCCAGGGCCAGCAGCGCCAGCCCGGCCACGGUGCAGCGGUCGAGGCGGGCGCGGAGCCGGGCUGCCCGAGCCUCCAGCCGCUCCAUCUGCCGCGCCGGCACGGCGGGGUCGGGCCGCGCCGCCCGCGGAACGGCCCCCGCCAGCACCACCAGCGCCGCGCCGCCCAGAGCGCAGCCCAGCGCCAGAGCCAGCCCCGGGCCCGCCGGCACCGGCCCCCCCGCGCCCGCACCGGCCCCCGCACCCGCCGCCGCCGCCUCGUCCGGGCUCCGCAGCUCCGCCGCCCGCGGGGACGCCAUGGAACCGCCGCCGGCCUGCGCGGCCGAAGCAUUCACAGCAUCCCAUGGCAGAGCGAGGACUCGCAGCCAGCACGGCUCAAGGUGACUCGGAGGUCAGGGGAAAAGCAGCCAGGCAAUUCAGGAGCUGGCUCUACAUCACUGAGAGAUCCAGCAAUUUGGGAGGACCAGAGAUCCCCAGCACAUCACAGCCUCCCUGCCUUGACACUGCCAGUCCCUGUGUACCCCAGACACAGCAUCCCAGUGCUCCCCAUGAAUGAGGGGGGGUUCUGAUCCAGCAAUCUGCUCCUGCGAGCUGCUGCCACCAGCAAGGCAGGUAGGGCUGGACUUGAGCCUUGGUGCUGGGGAGGGCUGGAGCUGCACAAUGGGCAACAGUGAGGGUGGUUCCCCUCUUGCAGGGCAUGGAGUUCUCAGAUAGGUUUGGUGCCCUGGAUGGGUAGUGGAUACCUGCCCCUGGGCUCGUGGGCUCGUGGGCUCGUUCCUCCAAGUCUCUGUGGGGAUACAUCACUCCAAGGAUGAUUUAUAGCAAAAAAUCGCUCUCCUUCCCCAAACAUCUGAGCCCCAGCCCAAAGGCAGCUGGAGGGAUGGAGCCCUGCUUACCACUAUGGCCAGAUGCAGAGCUGCACUGGGAUGAGGCUCAGCACUUUCCUGGUGAUAAUUAAGAUCUCGUUAUCUUCAGCUAACACCAGGGAGACAGCGAAAACCUCAGGUGCCUUGUGAUAUGGCAACAGCUGAUGCUCCGGGCUGUGCCUGGGAGCAACGGGAGCUUCGCUUGUUCUGCCUGAAUAUAAAGCAUGGAAAGCACGAAGCAGAGGGUGAAAAACUAUUUUUUUCCUGGCUGGUGACACCCAAGUGUGCAAAUACACUGUCUUCUCUCAGGGGUGGCUGGAGCUGACACGGAUGGCUGUGCACCUUUUGCCUUUCCCCCUCUGCACAGAGGUCUGACCCGAGGCUCUGGGUUUUUUUGUUUGUUUUUGUUUUUUGUUUUGUUUUCUUCUGCAAAUUUCCUUCACCAGGGGAGUUUUAUCAGACGUGUCUGGAGCCACGCAGGAGCUGCUCACCUGCAGAGAAAGAGAUGGGGCGGUGUCUGCAAACGGGCUCUUGGAACGUCAAGGGUGAACGGGAUUGGGAGGAGAAGGGGAGGGGAAGACAAGGAGAGGAGAGGGAGAGGUGGAUGGGGAGAGUGAGGUGGCUCUCCACUCUCAUGAACCCAAAAUGACACAUGCGACAAUGUGUUCCCGGGCACGCGAGGCUCCUGCU
This 1990-nucleotide long non-coding RNA is filed under the name Junco hyemalis (dark-eyed junco). RNAcentral describes it as "lncRNA (ENSJHYG00000013616.1)". The record is from RNAcentral. Lineage: Eukaryota; Metazoa; Chordata; Aves; Passeriformes; Passerellidae.